CACCAACUAGAAUCUCCCUCUGGCAAAGUGUCCUGGAGUGCAUAAACCUCUGUGACACCAAACCAAGGGACAUACACUGGUAAAGAUGCUGAAAAACUGAAAGACUAAAGAUUACAUGACAGAUCUUUUUUGAAAGUCAAGGUGGUUUCCAAAUCUUUUCUUUCAGCAAAAUUGAGAAGGACUAAUCAAGUUGUCAGCUAAUAGAUUAAAAAUAAUUGAUGAUGCCUGGUGACUGUGUGAACGUGAACAUAUAUUGCCAAAGAAGAUCAAAGACUUGAGUGACAUUGCCCCUUCAGUUUCCAUCCACUGACAUAGGAAUGUGAUUUCUCAGCACUUAUAUCUACAAAAACCAAAAAUAGGAGCAGGCAUUUGGAGGCUGCCCCCCUAAGCUAGAGUCAUUCAACUUUAUGCUUUGUCACAACUGUUAUUAACAAGUGGUGUGCACAACAGACAACCUCGCCAUCCUUGAACCCUACUCCAUGUCUACAACUCCAAAGUCUCACCAGAGGCUCUGAAAUCAUGUCUGACCAGCACCAGAAGGGCUGAGUUAAGUGGUGCAUUUCUAACCAAGUAACCAAUAAAGUUAAAAUCUCCCAUUGACAUGGGGCAGGUAUCUCAUUCACAACGGCAGAGCCUUCCGAAGUUCCCACCACCAGGUCAAAUCACCUGAAGAUUAUGUUUCAAUGCAGAAUGAUGGCCCCUAAGGAUAUCCACGUCCUAAUCCUCAGAACCUGUUCAUGUGUACAUUUCAGGACAAAAGAAACUUUGCAAAUGUGAUAGAGGUAAGGCAUCUUAAGGGGAGAUUCUUUCAUAUUACACAUGUUUUUUCAGUCUAAUCAAAUGAGCAUGGAAAAUUAGAGAAACAUAAAAGCCUCAGGGAACCAAAGGGAUGGCAGUUUGAGAAAGUCUUGGUCCAGCAUUGCUAAUUUUGAAGAUGGAGAAAGGAUAACACAAAACAAGACACAGAAUGACUUCUAUAAGUUAGACAAGAGAAGGAAAUGGAUUCUCUUAGUUUACAGAACAGAAUUCAUCCGUACCACAAUGCUUACAGCACAAUGAGACUGGUGUUGACCUUUAUUGUGAAAAGACUAUCAGCUUGCAAUGAUAUGUGGCAUCAAACGUGUGAUUUGUUAUGAAAGCAAGAUAAUACAGUUUGAAAUGCCUUUCUUCGCCUUUAUUUUUGAAGCAUGUUUUAACAAAAUUUUAAAUCUAGACUGGGAAUUAUUUUUGUAUACAAUUAAAAAUCUAUCCCAUUAUC
This is a long non-coding RNA of Marmota monax (woodchuck), 1258 nucleotides long. RefSeq lists it as uncharacterized. The transcript has 4 exons. Lineage: Eukaryota; Metazoa; Chordata; Mammalia; Rodentia; Sciuridae. The record is from RefSeq and is a predicted model, not a curated record.